AAGAUGGCGACCGGCGCACGGGUGAGUAACACGUAUCCAACCUGCCGAUAACUCUGGAAUAGCCUUUCGAAAGAAAGAUUAAUACCGGAUAGUAUACGAAUAUCGCAUGAUAUUUUUAUUUAAAGAAUUUCGGUUAUCGAUGGGGAUGCGUUCCAUUAGUUUGUUGGCGGGGUAACGGCCCACCAAGACUACGAUGGAUAGGGGUUCUGAGAGGAGGAUCCCCCACAUUGGAACUGAGACACGGUCCAAACUCCUACGGGAGGCAGCAUG
Molecule: ribosomal RNA, 270 nt
Filed under: uncultured bacterium
Lineage: Bacteria
Description: partial 16S ribosomal RNA
Rfam family: Bacterial small subunit ribosomal RNA
Source: RNAcentral